This 433-nucleotide ribosomal RNA is filed under the name uncultured bacterium. RNAcentral describes it as "partial 16S ribosomal RNA". It matches the Rfam family "Bacterial small subunit ribosomal RNA", at positions 29 to 507 of the family's 1533-position model. The record is from RNAcentral.
AACGAACGCUGGCGGCAGGCCUAACACAUGCAAGUCGAGCGAGGACUUCGGGUCUAGCGGCGGACGGGUGAGUAACGCGUGGGAAUGUGCCCUUCUCUACGGAAUAGCCCUGGGAAACUGGGAGUAAUACCGUAUACGCCCUUUUGGGGAAAGAUUUAUCGGAGCAGGAUCAGCCCGCGUUGGAUUAGGUAGUUGGUGGGGUAAUGGCCUACCAAGCCGACGAUCCAUAGCUGGUUUGAGAGGAUGAUCAGCCACACUGGGACUGAGACACGGCCCAGACUCCUACGGGAGGCAGCAGUGUGGAAUCUUAGACAAGGGGGGCAACCCUGAUCUAGCCAUGCCGCGGGAGUGAUGAAGGCCUUAGGGUUGUAAAGCUCUUUCAGCUGGGAAGAUAAUGACGGUACCAGCAGAAGAAGCCCCGGCUAACUCCGUG